Molecule: ribosomal RNA, 237 nt
Filed under: uncultured bacterium
Lineage: Bacteria
Description: partial 16S ribosomal RNA
Rfam family: Bacterial small subunit ribosomal RNA
Source: RNAcentral
GACAGAGGGUGCAAACGUUGUUCGGAUUUACUGGGCGUAAAGGGCGCGUAGGCGGCCUGUUAAGUCGAACGUGAAAUCCCCGGGCUCAACCCGGGAACUGCGUCCGAUACUGGCAGGCUUGAAUUCGGGAGAGGGAUGUGGAAUUCCAGGUGUAGCGGUUGAAAUGCGUAGGAUAUCUGGAGGAACACCGGUGGCGAAGGCGGCAUCCUGGACCGAUAUGACGUGAUGCGACGAAGC